GAGUUUGAGGCCAGUUGGGCACUACAGAGUUAGUGACAGGUCAGCCCACGCUAGAGUGAGACCCUACUUUGAAAAAAAAAAUGAGCUGGCUGGCUAGGUGAAUAUCUCCUUCGUCUCUCAUCCUCUCAUGUGCAUCCGUCCCUAAACUGUGCAUUCAGUCAAAGAGGAUGACUUUCUCCAUAAAGGAAGAUUAGUCCUUGGUCAAGGGUACACUUUCCUGCUAGAACCUUCAAACAAAUGCUCAAGAAUUAUGCUCUAGGCUUGGUGACCUUAUGAAUAACUACUUCUAUUGCUCUCCCCCAAGGGACUUGGUUUUUAUU
RNAcentral lists this small nuclear RNA (320 nucleotides) under Jaculus jaculus (lesser Egyptian jerboa). RNAcentral's name for it is "7SK RNA (ENSJJAG00000009529.1)". It matches the Rfam family "7SK RNA", at positions 50 to 331 of the family's 331-position model. Rfam says of the family: 7SK was discovered as an abundant small nuclear RNA in the mid-70s but a possible function has only recently been suggested. Two independent studies have found that 7SK RNA binds the CDK9/cyclin T complex (known as elongation factor P-TEFb). P-TEFb activates transcription by phosphorylating the C-terminal domain of RNA polymerase II. Lineage: Eukaryota; Metazoa; Chordata; Mammalia; Rodentia; Dipodidae. The record is from Rfam by way of RNAcentral.